This 67-nucleotide transfer RNA is filed under the name Megasoma mars. Its description in RNAcentral is "tRNA-Leu". It matches the Rfam family "tRNA". Rfam says of the family: Transfer RNA (tRNA) molecules are approximately 80 nucleotides in length. Lineage: Eukaryota; Metazoa; Arthropoda; Insecta; Coleoptera; Scarabaeidae. The record is from RNAcentral.
UCUAAUAUGGCAGAAUAGUGCAAUGGUCUUAAGCUCCAUUUAUAAAGGUCCCUACCUUUUUUUAGAA